This 637-nucleotide long non-coding RNA is filed under the name Phoenix dactylifera (date palm). RNAcentral describes it as "long non-coding RNA (PDAC_LNC004850)". The record is from RNAcentral. Lineage: Eukaryota; Viridiplantae; Streptophyta; Magnoliopsida; Arecales; Arecaceae.
UUUGAGAGUAAUAAUUAAUCAAUGAUAUAGUUAAAUAGUAAAUAAUUUAUGAUUUUAUUUAUGCAAUACACCUAAGAUCAUGUUUAUGAUAUAUUGAUGAUAUUGCAUGCAUGAUUGACUUUAUGACUUACUUUAUCAUAUAUAAUACUAUGAAAUAUUCUAUCUAGUAAUAAUUGUUAUUUUUACUUUAUGAUGCUUUGAUUCAUGCAAAAACUUAUGUUUGAUCUAGUAAGGUAGUGAAAUGUUUACUUACUGAGCUAUGCUCACAUAUUUUUAUUUUUAUUUUUUCUUUAGACAAAUAAGAUUGAUAGGAAAGAAGGAUGGUCCAGGCUUGGAGUUCACGCUAGCAAGUUUGGUGAUUUGUAUAAGAAUUUUAGUAUUCUAAUUGACUAUGAAUUUGUAGUUAAUGAUUUUCUGAAUAUUGAGGAUUAUAGGUUUGGUUUUGGAUUUAGACGGUCUGAACCAAUAUUGGUUUUAUUUAAUGAAUGAUAAAAUUAGACUUUUAAAUAUUAUAUUUUGUUUGUGAUGGAUUUGGAAGCUAAGAUGUAAUGGUUGAUUUCGUGUUAUCAUGGGUUGUACUCCUCAAUAGCAUGGCCUAUUAUGCCCCGAAUUUGGGACGUGACAAAGGAAGCUUGGG